This is a long non-coding RNA of Patella vulgata (common limpet), 1549 nucleotides long. RefSeq lists it as uncharacterized. The transcript is spliced from 3 exons. NCBI's taxonomy places the organism in Eukaryota, Metazoa, Mollusca, Gastropoda, Patellidae. The record is from RefSeq and is a predicted model, not a curated record.
UCGAGUCGGUUUCCGUCUUAGUGUCUUGUUAUUCGAGUCUAAAUAGUAAACAAAGCAAAUGGCGUCAAACGGAUGAAGCUCUCUCUCGUUAGAAAUUAAAAGGUCGGUAAAAUAAAAAGUUAUUGAUCAAUUCGGCUGAAAUUUGGUGUGUGGUCAUUGCUAGUCCCCCUGAACAUCCUCUGAAAAUUUCAAGUUCCUACGACCACGGGAACUGGUAGAGGUACGAAAGUGCAAUAGCGCCGAUAAAAUAAUAUUCUUGUGUACUAUAUAUAGAGGAUAUUUGUCGUUUUAGAGUGAAUAACAUAUUUUAUUUCAUCGAGAAGCAAGAAAACUUAUAUUUUCACGAAUGCGUAGCAUGAGUGAAAACAUAAACGUUUUCUUGCUUAGAGAUGAAAUAAAAUAUGUUAUUCACGACAAAACGACAAAUGUUCUAUUUAUUUUAUGAUUUUACAAUCAUUUUAGGUAAAAACAACUAGCCAGUGGAAUAACACUUUUAUUUCACUGAUAAAACGCGAUAUUCCACUACUGAUCAUAAAAUAAAAGUACAUAUUAAACAUUUAUUUUGUCCGCGAUAUCACCUCGGUGGAAGCGGACGUAAAAUACAACAAACACACACACACAUUUAUUUUCAUUUUUAAUUAACAAACAUAUGAAUAAAAAUGAUAUAAAAUAUUUGGCUAAAACUUUCUGAAUUGGCUAAUAAAAUUUUGAAUUGGCUAAAAAUUUGGCUAAAGGUUUUAAGAGUCUAGGGCGGUCACUGGUGUAUUAUAUGUAAAAAACGUGACAGAUUUGUCACUGUUGGAGAAAAUAGGAAGAAGGAUGUAUUAACACAGACUCAGACCCAAACAGGCUCAGGCCAACUGUUGAAAGCUGCUGAAUUGAAAGAGGAUGAAGAUAUUUUAAGGCAUAUCAGAGGGCAAGAUUGUGUGGCCAUUGAGGUCAGAUAUCACCAAAAAUGUUAUAGGCAAUAUACAUGUACUGAAUUUCUUAGACAGUUAUCAGAAAGCAAAGAUGACUAGCCCUCCGUCGAAUAUUAAACCACAUACAAUAUAUUCUGUGAAGAUGUCAUAAGAGAAAGAAUCAUAAAUGGCCAGCAAAGUUGUCUUGUACAGAGAGAGAGAAAUGGGGUUUAACGUCCACUCAACACAAACUAGGUCAUUUUGGGACUAACAUACGGUUUCAAUUUUAUUUCAAUAAUUCGCUUGCGCGUAUGGGUCUUUAGCAGUGAGAGGAAACCGGAGUGCCCGGAGGAAACCCACGAGGUUGAGAAGACGCCUCUAUCUCCAUGCCACAUACGCUCACACCUGGGAUCAAAGCCACAGCCACAAGCCAGAGGUGACCGACCAGCUAGAGGUCGAAGCGCGGCACUCUAGGCCAUCCCAACCCCCCUUUCUUGUACAGACCUGUGCAUGUGUAGUCAAUGUGAAAAUGAAAAAAAAACUGUUAAAGAGACCGAAUUUGAUGUUAAUACAUUUAGUGACAGUGAUGAUGAUAAUGAAGAUUAACUUUGAUGACAUUUGAUGUGCAGAGUAACUGUUUAAUUUUGAUU